GCGGACGUGGCGAAACUGGUAGACGCAAGGGACUUAAAAUCCCUCGGCCUUUGGCUGUACGGGUUCGACCCCCGUCGUCCGCA
This is a non-coding RNA of Rhizobium freirei PRF 81, 83 nucleotides long. Lineage: Bacteria; Pseudomonadati; Pseudomonadota; Alphaproteobacteria; Hyphomicrobiales; Rhizobiaceae. The record is from Rfam.